RNAcentral lists this ribosomal RNA (520 nucleotides) under uncultured Glomus. Its description in RNAcentral is "SSU rRNA". It matches the Rfam family "Eukaryotic small subunit ribosomal RNA", at positions 569 to 1090 of the family's 1831-position model. Lineage: Eukaryota; Fungi; Glomeromycota; Glomeromycetes; Glomerales; Glomeraceae. The record is from RNAcentral.
AGCAGCCGCGGUAAUUCCAGCUCCAAUAGCGUAUAUUAAAGUUGUUGCAGUUAAAAAGCUCGUAGUUGAAUUUCGAGACCAAUCUGCCGGUCGUGCCUCCGGUACGCACUGGUUUUAUUGGUUUCUCCCUUCUGACGAACCAUGAUGUCAUUAAUUUGGUGUCAUGGGGAAUCAGGACUGUUACUUUGAAAAAAUUAGAGUGUUUAUAGCAGGCUCACGCUUGAAUACAUUAGCAUGGAAUAAUGAAAUAGGACGUUUGACCCUAUUUUGUUGGUUUCUAGGAUCGACGUAAUGAUUAAUAGGGAUAGUUGGGGGCAUUAGUAUUCAAUUGUCAGAGGUGAAAUUCUUGGAUUUAUUGAAGACUAACUACUGCGAAAGCAUUUGCCAAGGACGUUUUCAUUAAUCAAGAACGAAAGUUAGGGGAUCGAAGACGAUCAGAUACCGUCGUAGUCUUAACCAUAAACUAUGCCGACUAGGGAUCGGAUGAUGUUAAUUUUUUAAUGACUCAUUCGGCGCCUUA